UACGGAGGGUGCAAGCGUUAUCCGGAUUCACUGGGUUUAAAGGGUGCGUAGGUGGGCAGGUAAGUCAGUGGUGAAAUCUCCGUGCUUAACACGGAAACUGCCAUUGAUACUAUGUUUCUUGAAUUUUCUGGAGGUUAGCGGAAUAUGUCAUGUAGCGGUGAAAUGCUUAGAUAUGACAUAGAACACCGAUUGCGAAGGCAGCUAACUACAGGGAUAUUGACACUGAGGCACGAAAGCGUGGGGAGCAAACAGG
RNAcentral lists this ribosomal RNA (253 nucleotides) under uncultured bacterium. Its description in RNAcentral is "partial 16S ribosomal RNA". It matches the Rfam family "Bacterial small subunit ribosomal RNA", at positions 524 to 776 of the family's 1533-position model. The record is from RNAcentral.